Molecule: ribosomal RNA, 379 nt
Filed under: uncultured eukaryote
Lineage: Eukaryota
Description: partial 18S ribosomal RNA
Rfam family: Eukaryotic small subunit ribosomal RNA
Source: RNAcentral
CAAUAGCGUAUAUUUAAGUUGUUGCAGUUAAAAAGCUCGUAGUUGGAUUUCGGGUAGGAUUUGCCGGUCCGUCUUUGAGAUGUGUACUGGUAAGUCCUAUCUUCUUGUCGGGGACCAGCUCCUGGGCUUCACUGUCCGGGACUGGGAGCCGACGAAUUUACUUUGAGUAAAUUAGAGUGUUCAAAGCAAGCCUACGCUCUGAAUAUAUUAGCAUGGAAUAACACGAUAGGACUCUGGCUUAUCUUGUUGGUCUGUGAGACCAGAGUAAUGAUUAAGAGGGACAGUCGGGGACAUUCGUAUUUCAUUGUCAGAGGUGAAAUUCUUGGAUUUAUGAAAGACGAACUUCUGCGAAAGCAUUUGUCAAGGAUGUUUUCAUUAA